AGAUGGGAGCUUGUGUCUUAAGAAGUGGGAAGCUCUGCUGAAACCCACUUUCCCCUGAUUUUAGUCUCUUCGGUUAUCUUCCUGUUUAAAGGAUAGGAGGUGCUAAAGCCCAGCUUCUCCUUUAUAGGGACCUACGUUCCACUCUAGCCAGGUACUCAGAUACACUGAAGGAUUUUGACCCAAGAGCUGAGGAUUUUGCAGCUGAUUUCUCACCUGGGACAUACGGCAUUAACACCUCAAUAACUUCAGCUCCCAGUGAGCUGUCAAAGGUGUUCUCAGCCCAGAAAGUUUUUCUGUUUUCUUUCCAUCUGUAGCAGUUGAUGGGAGAAGCAGGUGGUUUACCAGUUGGUCGUGCUCACCUUGUAAACUUUGUUCCUCUUCCACAUCAAGUCAUUCAUGACACUUGGCCUUUGAUUUGUCAUCACCUUCUCAUUCUGGAAAACUUAAAUAAACCCUGGACCCAACAGAAGGGAACCACUGAGCUGCCUGGAUGCUGAACUGCGGUGGCAGAUGCUUAAACAGGAGGUACAGGAGCUAAGGUUGUAAUGAAUCAUAUAGGAAAUGUGUUGUUAAAAGUAGAAGAAAAUCUACCUGACUUGAUGAAGGUUUGAAUCACAAAGCUCAGCCACUGCUAUGGACUUCUUAACCAGAAACCAAGAAGAUAAUCAUCUUGAGAGCCAACAACAGCUUCACGCAUCACCUCGGAAAAGCAUCACCUCUGAAAAAACACUUAUCUGGACAAAGAGUAGCUGAAGUCAAAACGUUCUGAUGAGAUAAAGCAUGAAAAUAUUCAAGAAAGUGAAAGGAACUGCUGGAUGGAAACAUCACAGAGCUAGCCCACCACAUCUCUCACCAUCAAACAGCGACAGGUAGCUGGACAAUAAUCUCAUCAAGUGCAAAAGAAAACAAUGGAAGCACUAAAAGCAGCAACACAACUAGGAUGCUGAUGGAGAUUUUAAGAUUGGUGGUAAGCAAACAGUUUAUGCAAUUUUUAUUCAAUAUUGUAAUUCAAUUAUAUAAUUUUAUUCAAUACUUAGGACUGAAGUACUGUUAAGUACAGAAGAGAUCACCAGUGUGCUGAGUACCUGAGAGGCACAGCAACAGUGAUAUAAUUGCAUGCGGGAAAGGAAAUAAUUUCUCAUGUCUCUCCUUAGGUAAGAAAUUACAGGUAUCAUCACUAUUCAGGUUCAUUCUUUUAUCACAUGGAGAUCUCAACCACCCUUCUGCCAAAGCCUGCGGAAUUAUUCUGUGAUAUGCUUUCUCACCCAAACCAUAUAAAUACACCCCAUUUCUGGGGAGGUAUCAAGUAUUAAAAGUUGAUCCCUAAAAUAAAUAAAAAUCAAAGACUUCAAACUUUAGCAAAAUCCACAAACUGAAGCACCUGACCACUGAGCUAUACAUCUAGGAACUUCAUGGGUACCUUGGUGGAUAUCCAAACAUCAAAAUUAAAAACCUGGGGAGUCAGAGAGGAAACAGGCAGAAAAUAAAAGGCAAAUGCAUUUCAAAUGGAUAAGAAAGGAAGAUGGAAUACUUCUUUUGCUUUUAUGCAGACAUAAACCCACGGAUUUAGAGGAUUACAGUAUGUAUCUUUAUCAUAGCUGAACAAUCUACUUCAGCUGUGCAAAAAGCAGGCAAUUCAAAAAUUCCUCCAAUUAGGGACAUAAAAGGCAGGUAAUUUCAAGCUGUUUAACAAGAAUUUCUGUAACACCUACACCAGUGCUAAGUAGUAAUAUUUUGUAAAUGUUGUCAGAAACGUGCCUUUGGAGACUCCCAAAUCUUAUGAUCAGAAAUAUCUGAGGCCACCAGCCAUGAGUGUUUUAAUAGAGUAAGUCUGUACUUCCCUACCAAGACUCAAGUCUGGUGACAUGCAAUGGAAACCCUGAGUCAGCCGGUCCAUUAUAUACGGCUCAGCUGGCAUCAGCUGUAGUUCUUUACACAGAGGAGUUCUCAAACCCUCCUUUUAGAGUUUAGAAAGAAAUAACCCUGCAGAUGAAGUUUAGACUGAUUCAUCUGGUUUUCUGAACAACAUUCUAAAAAUAACAGCUAGAUGGUGUGUUUCUGGUACUGUCUCAUCUUUUUUCUUCUACCAAUUAUCAAUCAAAACUCAGCUUCAGAACUGUAACACAUUUAUGUAACAACUGUCACCAUUUGUUACCAGUUCUUUCACAUGAUGCAAUAUUUAAAAAAAAAAACAAACCACAAUCCAACAUUAACAGGCAAGACUCUUUCUUAUGGUCUUACUGUUCCUGCAUGUGUACAUAAGGUAAAACUGUUGUAGAUUUUUGUCAUUAACUCUGAUGCCAUGAGUCAGUAUUUUAUAGGCACCAUACUAGUGCAAAACACAUUAGCACUAACAUAGGCUACCCUCCUGACAAAGUGUUUACUCCACUUCAGCCUGCUUGACUGAGUUCUGACCUUCAUUUGUCUUUGUUUCUCUGUCUACUUAAUGCAUUUUCAGCUAUCAUCAUCUCACUUCAAGUGCAACGUUUAUUAUUUGGAGCUCUCUGUGGGCUGUUUUAAGAGUUAGUCGUCUCCUGUUUCUAUUAUAUAUUCCAUUUAAUUAAGUAUAAAGCAUCCUUCUUCUUUGUUGACUCAUCAAUGACAAAGUAGCUCACCUUUUAGAGACUGAAGAAUAGAGAGCACCUUACAUAUGUUAGAAAAAGAUAUUUCAUCUUGAGAGAAAAAAUAUUUUUGUUGAUAUUGGAAGAUAUUCUAGGGCCAGUUCCAAUAACA
Long non-coding RNA from Pezoporus occidentalis (night parrot), 2733 nucleotides. RefSeq lists it as uncharacterized. The record is from RefSeq and is a predicted model, not a curated record. NCBI's taxonomy places the organism in Eukaryota, Metazoa, Chordata, Aves, Psittaciformes, Psittacidae. The transcript is spliced from 3 exons.